This 1501-nucleotide long non-coding RNA is filed under the name Volvox carteri. RNAcentral's name for it is "long non-coding RNA (VCAR_LNC000682)". Lineage: Eukaryota; Viridiplantae; Chlorophyta; Chlorophyceae; Chlamydomonadales; Volvocaceae. The record is from RNAcentral.
UUUGUUGUAGCUUUGCCCAAAACUGAGGGAGGAUUCGAUGCCGUUUUGGUCAUGGUAGACCGACUCACGAAAAUGGUGCACCUGGCACCUACGGUAUCAUCCUGCACAGCUGAGCAAACUGCACAUCUGUUCUUUGACAACAUAGUGUGUUUGCAUGGUGUCCCCAAGAACGUUGUGACUGACCGCGGAUCGCAAUUUGCCAGCAGAUUUUGGGGCACCCUGGGUGAUCUGUUAGGCAUGCGUGUUAACCUGAGCACCGCCUAUCACCCACAGACCGAUGGACAGACAGAACAACGUACAAAUCGCACUCUUGGCGAUAUGUUGCACAAUUAUGCCGGACAUACACCUUCUGUCUGGGACACAUAUCUAACUGCUGCGGAAUUCACGAUUAAUAAUGCUGUGAAUCGCGCGACUUGCACAAGUCCGUUUUUCCUGGAUUAUGGAUACAACCCUGCCUUGCCUGUUUGGCGGGAGUUGGACGUCAACUUGCCUGCAGCAAAGACGUUUGCCAAGUCCUUUGUGUCCCGACUGACUGACGCUAAAUCUUGCCUUGAAGCUGCACAGCAACGUACGGCGGACUACUUUAACAAAUACUUAUAUGACAUACUUACAUAAAACCGCUUAAUCCCAGUGUAAGAAUGUUUAAGAAUGCACACCCGCUGCCUCCGUGUUCUUCAGACAUUCUUAUCGUUCUUAAGCAUUCUCCUAAGUUUCUUAACCCCCCUCCGCGUUUGUAGGGACUGCAGCCUCACUAUCCGAGGUUGGCUGCACUUCCUGCACAUGCAUGAGAGCAUGAGAAUAAAAGCAGGCACUGCAAAGACAGUGCUGACACAUACACACACGCCCUCCCCCAACCAGCCCCAGCCACCCGCCAUAGCAUCAGGAACUAAAAAGAGGGGAACGGGUAACGAAUCCACAAUGAAAACAACCCUGGCACAUAUGUGGCCCACCCCCGCCUGCCUACACAAAACAAAUCUGCCGUACUCCGAUAGCCAUAUCGGAGUACGACAGCUUUUUGACGCCCGACAUAAAACACAUAACAGCCCCGACCCUCCCUUCCAACUCACCUCUCCAAGCGAGCCCAAUUCCUUCUCACGGUGGCCACCCGCCUCCAUUCCCGGCUGUACGUCAGCCAGGAAUAACUAAUGUUAGUUUAGCGACAGUGAGUGGCGGUGAGUUCUAUUUUAACGUUGCUACAAGGCAUACUUAAAGAUAACACAAGUCCAUUAUCCCAAUGGAAGCUGUUCCGAAUUCCUUCUCACUUGAAGCGGUUCCGAUUAGCGACAAUUCUUGGCCCAUAUCGUGCUCGACUGAGUUGGGAGUCAUGGCUACGUGCUUUGUUCUUUCGUAAUGAAGAUACCGUACUGCUACGAAUUCUUCGCGCCACAUCGUUCGUGGGUACCCCAAAAAUGUAGCUGGAAUUUUUCGUUUUGUUACACCAAUUCUCGAGGGCUGUCAGUUUUUAUGGCACACAUUUGUUUACGUGAACACACAUUUCGCG